Hypoxylon sp. CO27-5 is the source of this 89-nucleotide non-coding RNA. NCBI's taxonomy places the organism in Eukaryota, Fungi, Ascomycota, Sordariomycetes, Xylariales, Hypoxylaceae. The record is from the annotation of a GenBank genome assembly.
UCCGAAUUGGUGUAGUGGCUAACAUUUGACGCUCUCAACAGGAAAUUGUGUGAUCCGUCAAGCCCGGGGUUCGAUUCCCCGAUUCGGAG